This 460-nucleotide ribosomal RNA is filed under the name uncultured bacterium. Its description in RNAcentral is "partial 16S ribosomal RNA". It matches the Rfam family "Bacterial small subunit ribosomal RNA", at positions 338 to 795 of the family's 1533-position model. The record is from RNAcentral.
CCUACGGGAGGCAGCAGUGAGGAAUAUUGGUCAAUGGACGAGAGUCUGAACCAGCCAAGUAGCGUGAAGGAUGACUGCCCUAUGGGUUGUAAACUUCUUUUAUAUGGGAAUAAAAUGUUCCACGUGUGGGAUUUUGUAUGUACCAUAUGAAUAAGGAUCGGCUAACUCCGUGCCAGCAGCCGCGGUAAUACGGAGGAUCCGAGCGUUAUCCGGAUUUAUUGGGUUUAAAGGGAGCGUAGGUGGAUUGUUAAGUCAGUUGGGAAAGUUUGCGGCUCAACCGUAAAAUUGCAGUUGAAACUGGCAGUCUUGAGUACAGUAGAGGUGGGCGGAAUUCGUGGUGUAGCGGUGAAAUGCUUAGAUAUCACGAAGAACUCCGAUUGCGAAGGCAGCUCACUGGACUGCAACUGACACUGAGGCUCGAAAGUGUGGGUAUCAAACAGGGUUAGAUACCCGAGUAGUC